AUCUGGGAGGACCAUCUCCUAAGGCUAAAUACUCUCUAGUGACCGAUAGUGAACCAGUACCGUGAGGGAAAGGUGAAAAGUACCCCGGAAGGGGAGUGAAAGAGAACUUGAAACCGUGUGCUUACAAGUAGUCAGAGCCCGUUAAUGGGUGAUGGCGUGCCUUUUGUAGAAUGAACCGGCGAGUUACGAUCUGAUGCAAGGUUAAGCAGAAAAUGUGGAGCCGUAGCGAAAGCGAGUCUGAAUAGGGCGAAUGAGUAUUUGGUCGUAGACCCGAAACCAGGUGAUCUACCCUUGGUCAGGUUGAAGUUCAGGUAACACUGAAUGGAGGACCGAACCGACUUACGUUGAAAAGUGAGCGGAUGAACUGAGGGUAGCGGAGAAAUUCCAAUCGAACUUGGAGAUAGCUGGUUCUCUCCGAAAUAGCUUUAGGGCUAGCCUCAAGUGAUGAUUAUUGGAGGUAGAGCACUGUUUGGACGAGGGGCCCCUCUCGGGUUACCGAAUUCAGACAAACUCCGAAUGCCAAAUAAUUUAACUUGGGAGUCAGAAUGUGGGUGAUAAGGUCCAUAUUCGAAAGGGAAACAGCCCAGACCACCAGCUAAGGUCCCAAAAUAUAUGUUAAGUGGAAAAGGAUGUGGCGUUGCCCAGACAACUAGGAUGUUGGCUUAGAAGCAGCCAUCAUUUAAAGAGUGCGUAAUAGCUCACUAGUCGAGUGACACUGCGCCGAAAAUGUACCGGGGCUAAACAUAU
This 747-nucleotide ribosomal RNA is filed under the name Staphylococcus pseudintermedius. RNAcentral's name for it is "partial 23S ribosomal RNA". It matches the Rfam family "Bacterial large subunit ribosomal RNA", at positions 442 to 1191 of the family's 2925-position model. Lineage: Bacteria; Bacillati; Bacillota; Bacilli; Caryophanales; Staphylococcaceae. The record is from RNAcentral.